This 205-nucleotide long non-coding RNA is filed under the name Elaeis guineensis (African oil palm). RNAcentral's name for it is "long non-coding RNA (EGUI_LNC047585)". Lineage: Eukaryota; Viridiplantae; Streptophyta; Magnoliopsida; Arecales; Arecaceae. The record is from RNAcentral.
CUGAUAGUCGUUGAUGCGUGCAGCCAACUCCUGAGCUCGCUGCUCAACCUACUGUCGAUCUACAGUAGCCUGCUAUAGAUCUUCGGUAGCCUGCUAUCGAUCUUCGAUAGCCUAUCUCUGUACCUCCAUCAGUCGAGCCUCGCAUGCAGAAUCGAUGUCAGCCCUAGAUGAGCAUGAGGAUGAGGGAGCAGUGAUCCCAUACCCU